GGCUCCGUGGUGUAGUGGCCAAACAUGCGAUCCUGUCAAGGUCGAGAACGCGGGUUCGAAUCCCGUCGGAGCCGCCA
This 77-nucleotide transfer RNA is filed under the name Dehalococcoidia bacterium. RNAcentral's name for it is "tRNA-Asp". It matches the Rfam family "tRNA". Rfam says of the family: Transfer RNA (tRNA) molecules are approximately 80 nucleotides in length. Their secondary structure includes four short double-helical elements and three loops (D, anti-codon, and T loops). Further hydrogen bonds mediate the characteristic L-shaped molecular structure. tRNAs have two regions of fundamental functional importance: the anti-codon, which is responsible for specific mRNA codon recognition, and the 3' end, to which the tRNAs corresponding amino acid is attached (by aminoacyl-tRNA synthetases). tRNAs cope with the degeneracy of the genetic code in two manners: having more than one tRNA (with a specific anti-codon) for a particular amino acid; and 'wobble' base-pairing, i.e. permitting non-standard base-pairing at the 3rd anti-codon position. Lineage: Bacteria; Bacillati; Chloroflexota; Dehalococcoidia. The record is from RNAcentral.